RNAcentral lists this ribosomal RNA (690 nucleotides) under uncultured bacterium. RNAcentral describes it as "bacterial SSU rRNA". It matches the Rfam family "Bacterial small subunit ribosomal RNA", at positions 8 to 746 of the family's 1533-position model. The record is from RNAcentral.
AGAGUUUGAUCCUGGCUCAGAACGAACGCUGGCGGCAGGCUUAACACAUGCAAGUCGAACGCCCCGCAAGGGGAGCGGCAGACGGGUGAGUAACGCGUGGGAACGUACCUUUUGCUACGGAAUAACUCAGGGAAACUUGUGCUAAUACCGUAUGUGCCCUUCGGGGGAAAGAUUUAUCGGCAAAGGAUCGGCCCGCGUUGGAUUAGCUAGUUGGUGAGGUAAAGGCUCACCAAGGCGACGAUCCAUAGCUGGUCUGAGAGGAUGAUCAGCCACACUGGGACUGAGACACGGCCCAGACUCCUACGGGAGGCAGCAGUGGGGAAUAUUGGACAAUGGGCGCAAGCCUGAUCCAGCCAUGCCGCGUGAGUGAUGAAGGCCCUAGGGUUGUAAAGCUCUUUCACCGGUGAAGAUAAUGACGGUAACCGGAGAAGAAGCCCCGGCUAACUUCGUGCCAGCAGCCGCGGUAAUACGAAGGGGGCUAGCGUUGUUCGGAUUUACUGGGCGUAAAGCGCACGUAGGCGGACUUUUAAGUCAGGGGUGAAAUCCCGGGGCUCAACCCCGGAACUGCCUUUGAUACUGGAAGUCUUGAGUAUGGUANAGGUGAGUGGAAUUCCGAGUGUAGAGGUGAAAUUCNUANAUAUUCGNANNAACACCAGUGNCNAAGGCNGCUCACUGGACCAUUACUGACNC